RNAcentral lists this ribosomal RNA (709 nucleotides) under uncultured bacterium. RNAcentral's name for it is "bacterial SSU rRNA". It matches the Rfam family "Bacterial small subunit ribosomal RNA", at positions 59 to 782 of the family's 1533-position model. The record is from RNAcentral.
CAGUCGACGAUGAGAGGGAGCUUGCUCCCUGGAUUAGUGGCGAACGGGUGAGUAACACGUGAGUAACCUGCCCUUGACUCUGGGAUAAGCACUGGAAACGGUGUCUAAUACCGGAUACGAACUUCAGCCGCAUGGCUAGGAGUUGGAAAGAAUUUCGGUCAAGGAUGGACUCGCGGCCUAUCAGCUAGUUGGUGAGGUAAUGGCCCACCAAGGCGACGACGGGUAGCCGGCCUGAGAGGGUGACCGGCCACACUGGGACUGAGACACGGCCCAGACUCCUACGGGAGGCAGCAGUGGGGAAUAUUGCACAAUGGGCGAAAGCCUGAUGCAGCGACGCCGCGUGAGGGAUGACGGCCUUCGGGUUGUAAACCUCUUUCAGCAGGGACGAAGCGAGAGUGACGGUACCUGCAGAAGAAGCACCGGCCAACUACGUGCCAGCAGCCGCGGUAAUACGUAGGGUGCGAGCGUUGUCCGGAAUUACUGGGCGUAAAGAGCUCGUAGGCGGUUUGUCACGUCGGCUGUGAAAACCCAUCGCUCAACGGUGGGCUUGCAGUCGAUACGGGCUGACUUGAGUACUGCAGGGGAGACUGGAAUUCCUGGUGUAGCGGUGAAAUGCGCAGAUAUCAGGAGGAACACCGGUGGCGAAGGCGGGUCUCUGGGCAGUAACUGACGCUGAGGAGCGAAAGCGUGGGUAGCAAACAGGAUUAGA